AGAUUGAACGCUAGCGGCAUGCCUAACACAUGCAAGUCGAACGGUAACAGGCCCUUCGGGGUGCUGACGAGUGGCGGACGGGUGAGUAAUGCGUAGGAAUCUACCCACGAGUGGGGGAAUAGCCCGGAGAAAUCCGGAUUAAUACCGCAUAUGCCCUACGGGGUAAAGCGGGGGAUCGUAAGACCUCGCGCAGCAGGAUGAGCCGAUGUCCGAUUAGCUGGUUGGUGGGGUAACGGCCUUACCAAGGCGACGAUCGGUAGCUGGUCUGAGAGGACGACCAGGCCACACUGGGACUGAGACAACGGCCCAGACUCCUAAGGGGAGCAGC
RNAcentral lists this ribosomal RNA (328 nucleotides) under uncultured prokaryote. RNAcentral's name for it is "bacterial SSU rRNA". It matches the Rfam family "Bacterial small subunit ribosomal RNA", at positions 26 to 352 of the family's 1533-position model. The record is from RNAcentral.